AGUGAACGCUGGCGGUAGGCCUAACACAUGCCAGUCGAACGGCAGCACAGUAAGAGCUUGCUCUUACGGGUGGCGAGUGGCGGACGGGUGAGGAAUACAUCGGAAUCUACUUUUUCUUGGGGGAUAACGUAGGGAAACUUACGCUAAUACCGCAUACGACCUACGGGUGAAAGCAGGGGAUCUUCGGACCUUGCGCGAUUGAAUGAGCCGAUGUCGGAUUAGCUAGUUGGCGGGGUAAAGGCCCACCAAGGCGACGAUCCGUAGCUGGUCUGAGAGGAUGAUCAGCCACACUGGAACUGAGACACGGUCCAGACUCCUACGGGAGGCAGCAGUGGGGAAUAUUGGACAAUGGGCGCAAGCCUGAUCCAGCCAUACCGCGUGAGUGAAGAAGGCCUUCGGGUUGUAAAGCCCUUUUGUUGGGAAAGAAAAGAAGCAGGUUAAUACCCCGCUGUUCUGACGGUACCCAAAGAAUAAGCACCGGCUAACUUCGUG
This 492-nucleotide ribosomal RNA is filed under the name uncultured bacterium. Its description in RNAcentral is "partial 16S ribosomal RNA". It matches the Rfam family "Bacterial small subunit ribosomal RNA", at positions 29 to 507 of the family's 1533-position model. The record is from RNAcentral.